Molecule: long non-coding RNA, 1192 nt
Filed under: Lactuca sativa (garden lettuce)
Lineage: Eukaryota; Viridiplantae; Streptophyta; Magnoliopsida; Asterales; Asteraceae
Description: long non-coding RNA (LSAT_LNC004654)
Source: RNAcentral
UAUCCUCCUGCGUGAGAGUUGGUUUAAGAAUUGCAGAUGGCGUCUUGUGAACGACGCCAUGCAUAUCAAAGUCGAUUCAUAACGCCUCAUCAUCCAGUAUGUCGUUUCCGUUUUAUAAAUUUCCAUGCGAGAAUUCUCUGUUUCUAUUCCACAUGUUUUCUCUUUCUACGAUUGUCAUCUUCCGCCGUCGAUCACAGCCCCCCAAAAAAAUUCUCAAACUGAUUUGGUGGGGAGAGCAUUCGCUUCUUCAUCUUUAUUUUUUGGGGAUCGGUUAAUGUUGGCCUUAUUCAACGGUAAUAAAACCAAUUGAGAUUUCUUUUUUAGGGUUCCUCAACAAAACCAAUUCAGUUUUCUGUUUUAGGAUUCCUUAAAAUUAGAAAACGACGCCGUGGUUUUCUAAUUUGUCUCGCUCCUGUUCUCUGGCCUCGCUCUCAAACUCUAAUAGUUGAUUUUUCAAUUUUUUGGUUGUUAUGGUUUUUUGAUAUUGUAGAUAUGAUUAUUUCAUCGUAUCUUUUUUUCAAUAAUUUAAAGUUUUUUAAUUUGUUGAAGUGGCUAUCUGUGUCUAUGUAUUUUUAAUCCUUUACUUUUUUUAAUUUACUUUUAUUUUUUUGAAGAUUUGACAGACCGUUUCUGAUGGGCAUGUUGAUUAUCGGCUUUGUAUCCACCAUCCAGGUGAAUUUCUUUUUUCUUUUCCUUUUUCAAAGAAGUUACCUAUUCGAAACACCUAAUUAAAUAAAGAUAUUAGGUUGGUGUAGUUUUGUAUUUGUCAAGAAUUACUAAUCAUAUUUGGUUGAUACUCACCAAUUUUUUAGAUUAAUGAAUGGCUGGAGUACGCCCCUAUCUUCUCUUCUGCUCCACAAUAUGAACAGACAUGGUUGAUUCAUCCUCAUCUGUUUGUUCCUAUUUUUGAUGUUUUCCAAACAUGUUUGUUUAAUAUGCCGUGUUAUUUUUGAAUAACUGUUUCUGUUGUGAAAUCAAUAUUAAUGGUUUUCGUAAUUGAUGAUAUGAUUUGGCAUAAAUUAACAUUACAUUUCAGGAUUAUAUACAUUUUUCUUGUUAGAAUAUCACCCUAUCAAUAUGCAUUUGUUUAUUUUAAAUAGGAUUGAAGAUAGUGAUGAAUGCAAUGAUAGAAAUGAGACUGGAGGAUUACUUGGAGGUUCAUCUUUGUGACCUGAGAUGUGUUUCAUUUUAG